GCCAGGCAUGGUGGCACACACCUGUAAUCCCAGUGAUUCAGGAGGCUGAUGCAGGAGGAUCACAAGUUUGAGGCCAGCCUCAACAACUAAGUGAGACCCUGUCUCAA
This 107-nucleotide small RNA is filed under the name Marmota monax (woodchuck). Lineage: Eukaryota; Metazoa; Chordata; Mammalia; Rodentia; Sciuridae. The record is from RNAcentral.